This is a transfer RNA of Pelodiscus sinensis (Chinese soft-shelled turtle), 74 nucleotides long. It matches the Rfam family "tRNA". From Rfam's summary of the family: Transfer RNA (tRNA) molecules are approximately 80 nucleotides in length. Their secondary structure includes four short double-helical elements and three loops (D, anti-codon, and T loops). The record is from Rfam. NCBI's taxonomy places the organism in Eukaryota, Metazoa, Chordata, Testudines, Trionychidae.
AGCACCAUGGCUUAGCGGGCUAACGUGCCUGCCUUGUAAACAGGAGAUCCUGAGUUCAAGUCUCAGCAGUGCCU